GUAGGGAAUAUUGGGCAAUGGUCGGAAGACUGACCCAGCCAUGCCGCGUGCAGGAAGACGGCCCUCUGGGUUGUAAACUGCUUUUAUCUGGGAAGAAAAAGGCCAUGCGUGGCAAAUUGCCGGUACCAGAUGAAUAAGCACCGGCUAACUCCGUGCCAGCAGCCGCGGUAAUACGGAGGGUGCGAGCGUUGUCCGGAUUUAUUGGGUUUAAAGGGUGCGUAGGCGGCUGAUUAAGUCAGCGGUGAAAGACUUCGGCUUAACCGGGGCAGUGCCGUUGAUACUGGUUGGCUUGAGUGUCGGAGGGGUACAUGGAAUUGAUGGUGUAGCGGUGAAAUGCAUAGAUACCAUCAGGAACACCGAUAGCGAAGGCAUUGUACUGGCCGACAACUGACGCUGAUGCACGAAAGUGUGGGGAUCGAACAGGAUUAGAAACCCGGGUAGUCC
This 444-nucleotide ribosomal RNA is filed under the name uncultured bacterium. RNAcentral's name for it is "partial 16S ribosomal RNA". It matches the Rfam family "Bacterial small subunit ribosomal RNA", at positions 354 to 796 of the family's 1533-position model. The record is from RNAcentral.